Molecule: ribosomal RNA, 1339 nt
Filed under: Streptomyces sp. BS11
Lineage: Bacteria; Bacillati; Actinomycetota; Actinomycetes; Kitasatosporales; Streptomycetaceae
Description: 16S ribosomal RNA
Rfam family: Bacterial small subunit ribosomal RNA
Source: RNAcentral
ACUCUGGGACAAGCCCUGGAAACGGGGUCUAAUACCGGAUAUGACUGUCCAUCGCAUGGUGGAUGGUGUAAAGCUCCGGCGGUGCAGGAUGAGCCCGCGGCCUAUCAGCUUGUUGGUGAGGUAGUGGCUCACCAAGGCGACGACGGGUAGCCGGCCUGAGAGGGCGACCGGCCACACUGGGACUGAGACACGGCCCAGACUCCUACGGGAGGCAGCAGUGGGGAAUAUUGCACAAUGGGCGAAAGCCUGAUGCAGCGACGCCGCGUGAGGGAUGACGGCCUUCGGGUUGUAAACCUCUUUCAGCAGGGAAGAAGCGAAAGUGACGGUACCUGCAGAAGAAGCGCGGCUAACUACGUGCCAGCAGCCGCGGUAAUACGUAGGGCGCAAGCGUUGUCCGGAAUUAUUGGGCGUAAAGAGCUCGUAGGCGGCUUGUCACGUCGGUUGUGAAAGCCCGGGGCUUAACCCCGGGUCUGCAGUCGAUACGGGCAGGCUAGAGUUCGGUAGGGGAGAUCGGAAUUCCUGGUGUAGCGGUGAAAUGCGCAGAUAUCAGGAGGAACACCGGUGGCGAAGGCGGAUCUCUGGGCCGAUACUGACGCUGAGGAGCGAAAGCGUGGGGAGCGAACAGGAUUAGAUACCCUGGUAGUCCACGCCGUAAACGGUGGGCACUAGGUGUGGGCAACAUUCCACGUUGUCCGUGCCGCAGCUAACGCAUUAAGUGCCCCGCCUGGGGAGUACGGCCGCAAGGCUAAAACUCAAAGGAAUUGACGGGGGGCCGCACAAGCGGCGGAGCAUGUGGCUUAAUUCGACGCAACGCGAAGAACCUUACCAGGGCUUGACAUACACCGGAAACGUCUGGAGACAGGCGCCCCCUUGUGGUCGGUGUACAGGUGGUGCAUGGCUGUCGUCAGCUCGUGUCGUGAGAUGUUGGGUUAAGUCCCGCAACGAGCGCAACCCUUGUCCCGUGUUGCCAGCAGGCCCUUGUGGUGCUGGGGACUCACGGGAGACCGCCGGGGUCAACUCGGAGGAAGGUGGGGACGACGUCAAGUCAUCAUGCCCCUUAUGUCUUGGGCUGCACACGUGCUACAAUGGCCGGUACAAUGAGCUGCGAUACCGCGAGGCGGAGCGAAUCUCAAAAAGCCGGUCUCAGUUCGGAUUGGGGUCUGCAACUCGACCCCAUGAAGUCGGAGUCGCUAGUAAUCGCAGAUCAGCAUUGCUGCGGUGAAUACGUUCCCGGGCCUUGUACACACCGCCCGUCACGUCACGAAAGUCGGUAACACCCGAAGCCGGUGGCCCAACCCCUUGUGGGAGGGAGCUGUCGAAGGUGGGACUGGCGAUUGGG